The sequence is a ribosomal RNA, 251 nucleotides long. It matches the Rfam family "Archaeal large subunit ribosomal RNA", at positions 1507 to 1798 of the family's 2987-position model. The record is from Rfam.
ACAGGGAAAUAGGUUAAUAUUCCUAUGCCAGUGUGCACUCAAAGCCAACGCUUUGGGGCCGCCUGAGCCGGGCCUUCGCCCGGUCGAACUGUCGAAGUUCGUGGAAGCCGUAAUGGCACGAAGCGACCGAAUGGCAGGAUAGCGCAAGUCAGGUCAACCGAGAGCCCGUGAAAAGGCGAGCACACUGUCCGUACCGAGAUCCGACACAGGUACUCGUGGCGGCGAAAGCCAAGGUCUGUCGGGAGCAACCC